UUUUUUUUUUUUUUUUUUAAAUUCUGUGGUAACAGCAACCCAGGAGUGGAAUGUACUAAGGAAAAGGAAAUGUUAAACUCAGCCUAAUCAAACAUUUUCUUAUCCAAAAUUGAAUAUAAUUUGGUUUUACGGGACCAAGAGGUUCAUUGAGUGGAUAAAUUACUUACCAUAUCCACAGUCAAUUAAGUAGAGUGUUUGUAAGUCAUAAGACAAAAUAUUGGGUACAGCCAAGGAUCACUAGUGCCUCUCAUUUAACAUAAAACAGUUUGAGACCUUAGUUUAUAUAAUCCACUUCUUCUACUGUGCACAGCUGUAACUGUGGUGCAGGGGAAAGAGUUCUUCACAUCUGUGACCUGGGCUCACAUCCUUGCCAUCUGCAUAUGACUGAGCAUUCUUGGAUAAAUUGUGUCUCUAAGACUCUUCUUUUGCACAUGGACAAAGAAGGGGAAAGGAUAACAAUAGUUAUAAACACAGAAUUUUUAUAAUAACUACAAAUAUACUUGGAAAUGCCUAGAAAUCUGCACUCAAAAUACAGAUCCUCUACCUAAUAGUCCUGUCAACUAGUUUUUUGACUAUAAAAAUUUAAUCAUGAUGCAUUGAUUCUAUAUGGCUUUGGGGAACAUUAUAAAGGAUCAUGAAUGUGAAGUGCCUGGACCAUUGUAAGCUCUCAGUAAGUAUUAGUCACACAAUGAAGAUAUAGUAAGGAGAAGGAAAAGGAGAAGAAUAAGUAGAAAGAGAAAAGACCCUCUGCCCAAUGAAAUUUUCUAGAAUUUCCACCUAAAUUUUGUUUUGUUUCAUGACAUAUCAAAUUGUAGUUUUGACAUCUAGCUAAGUUAACUAAAGCUCAAAAGACAAUUAUAAUGCCUACCAAAAAAUAUUGCUGCACAGAAUAUAUAAAAUCAUUUACAGAAAGUAUUUUGCUUGAUACAUCAGGUAAAAAUAGCCAAUAAUAACUAGUAGCUGGUAUUAUUAUUGUUAUUACUAUUAAUGGUUUUAUAUUAUGAAAGCAUGAUCAUGUGGGCAAAUUUUAAAAUAAAAAUAAGCAAAAAUGAUAGUAAGAACCCAUCCCUCAGAAACAAUCAUUGUUAACAUUUUCAUGCCUAUCUCUUCUUAUAAAAUAAGAAGGAGGCCAGGCGCAGUGGCUUAUUCCUGUAAUCCCAGCACUUUGGGAAGCCUAGCCAGGUGGAUCACUUGAGGUCAGGAGAUCGAG
This 1210-nucleotide long non-coding RNA is filed under the name Macaca fascicularis (crab-eating macaque). Its description in RNAcentral is "lncRNA (ENSMFAG00000054461.1)". Lineage: Eukaryota; Metazoa; Chordata; Mammalia; Primates; Cercopithecidae. The record is from RNAcentral.